Molecule: ribosomal RNA, 484 nt
Filed under: uncultured bacterium
Lineage: Bacteria
Description: partial 16S ribosomal RNA
Rfam family: Bacterial small subunit ribosomal RNA
Source: RNAcentral
AUUGAACGCUGGCGGAAUGCUUUACACAUGCAAGUCGAGCGGCAGCACGGGGGCAACCCUGGUGGCGAGCGGCGAACGGGUGAGUAAUACAUCGGGACAUGCCCAGUCGUGGGGGAUAACACUUCGAAAGAAGUGCUAAUACCGCAUACGUCCUGAGGGGGAUAGCGGGGGAUCGCAAGACCUCGCGCGAUUGGAGUGGCCGAUGUCAGAUUAGCUAGUUGGUGGGGUAAAGGCCUACCAAGGCAACGAUCUGUAGCUGGUCUGAGAGGAUGAUCAGCCACACUGGGACUGAGACACGGCCCAGACUCCUACGGGAGGCAGCAGUGGGGAAUUUUGGACAAUGGGGGCAACCCUGAUCCAGCCAUUCCGCGUGAGUGAAGAAGGCCUUCGGGUUGUAAAGCUCUUUCGGCAGGAACGAAACGGUGAGCUCUAACAUAGCUUGCUAAUGACGGUACCUGAAGAAGAAGCACCGGCUAACUACGUG